This is a long non-coding RNA of Mesocricetus auratus (golden hamster), 1488 nucleotides long. RefSeq lists it as uncharacterized. The record is from RefSeq and is a predicted model, not a curated record. Lineage: Eukaryota; Metazoa; Chordata; Mammalia; Rodentia; Cricetidae. The transcript has 3 exons.
GAUGCUGAACUCCUGGAUACUAUAGAAUACAUUAACAUGUCAAGAAAACAAUACUCUGUACAGCACGUUCUGGAGGGCACAAGCCGUAUAUCACAAGAGCAUGGCAACCACAGAGGUGACAUGAGCCCAUCAUAUGGAGAAAUGCAUCACUCAAAAUCAAACUGCAACACCACGGAAAACUCACCUUGGCAGAGUUCUCAAAUGAGAAUUUCACCUUAAAGAGAAAACUGGGUCAGCUGCUUAAUCCUGAAGCGGGGAAUCUUACUAUCUCAUUUUAGUUAAGGUGCAUCUCAUUCUAUCAAAAGUAAACCUGGGUUUAUAACCUACAUCAAUCUUCCUUAGAAUGCAUUUCACCUCUCACUCCAUGACUUUACCCCAUAAUUGCUGCAUGUAUGCCUUAUAAUAUAAAAUACCAGCCUUUGUCCAAAAGGCUCUACAUUGAAUUUUUUCUUCAUUUGCUUACUGGCCACCAUCAAGCUCUAGACCGAAAAAUGAUAAUUGUCCCUCUGUCUUUAUGCAUGAGUGGCAAAUGAAUACUUCAGUCACUAUCUACAUGUUGAUUUGGAUCUUCAAUGGUGCAGCUGGAGGAGGGCUAUGGGGCAGUGUUUUUUGUUUGUUUGUUUGCUUUCUUGCUUUGUUUUCUCCUCUUGCAGACCCGUGGAAUCAGAAUCUUUGGGAAUGAAUAUCGGCAAGGGAGACAUCUACUUAGAAACUGAAAUGCAAGCUCAGAAAACAGUUUCAAAUCUGGUGGCUUCUCCCAACCAGAAUGCAGGCACUGCUUCUGCUUCCCCCAUCCGGGAACUGCUCAUGCUCCCAUCUCUGCUGCAGAGAACUUCCUUGUAAAGAUGCACUUAUGCAUAUUCUGGAGAGAUGAGUUCAGUGACUAUGUCAUUUGUUAAAAGAAGAGAGGUUAAGAUAGAUAUACUCCUGUCCUGGACACUGGAAUUGUUGAAAUUAAUUUUUCUUCAACAGCUGAUUUAUCAUAGCCAGAACUUCAUAGGAAAACGUGAUCCCUUGUUUCUUAUGCAUGCUGCUGCACUUAAGGCCAGAGACUUUUUUUUUUACAUGAAAUUCAUUUGUACUUGAAAAUUCAGAGGAACUUCAUGCACAUCUACUUGCUUAGAAUAAUGCCAGCAAUACUAGUUCUGGAUAAGUUUCAUCGCUGUCACGGGGCCUUAAAAUGACUUUAAGCUGUCUUUUGCUGUCUUCCUAAAUGCUGGCUGGUAGCCCAGACUGAAUUCUGAAAAGGAAAGUAGCUGUCUAAAUAAAAAUAAUAACUGUUUACCACCGAAAGUAUCUUUGGAUGAAAUUUAACCUUUUGUGAAAAAAAACAACACCACUAACUUUGUGAGCAGGAUUCAUAUAGUCCACUUUAAGCAGUGAUCAUAGAAAUAAGACACGGCAGAAUAAAGUCAGAGCAAGACUACAGGAGUUAUUGUAUAAGAAUAGGAACUAUGGGAAUACAGCAUUAAAAAACUGUUCUAGGGU